UUAGUUUCUUAAUUAGAAACUUGUAUGAAUGGUUGGAUGAGAAAAUUACUUUGUUUAAUUAAUUAAAAGAGAAUUUUAUUUUUAAGUUAAAAAGCUUAGAUUUUUUUAUAAGACGAGAAGACCCUAUAGAGUUUAAUAUUAGUGUUGUAUUUAUUGUUAGGAAUAUUAUGUUUUACAGUUUCUAUUAUUUGGUUGGGGCGACUUUAAAAUUUAGUAAACUUUUAUAUUUUUAGUACUUUUAUUUACGAUUGUUUGAUCCAAAUAUUUUGAUUAAAAGAACAAAUUACCUUAGGGAUAACAGCGUGAUUUUUCUGGUGAGUUCAUAUCUAUAGAAAAGAUUGCGACCUCGAUGUUGGAUUAAAAUUUACUAUUGGCGCAGUAGUUGAUGGGUUGAGUCUGUUCGACUUUUAAAAUUUUACAUGAUCUGAGUUCAAACCGGAGA
This 442-nucleotide ribosomal RNA is filed under the name Phaenonotum sp. Peru MF861. RNAcentral's name for it is "partial 16S ribosomal RNA". The stretch from base 294 to 442 matches the Rfam family "Bacterial large subunit ribosomal RNA", at positions 2473 to 2622 of the family's 2925-position model. Lineage: Eukaryota; Metazoa; Arthropoda; Insecta; Coleoptera; Hydrophilidae. The record is from RNAcentral.